ACCCGGUCUACUCCCGCCAUCGGCAUUAAAAUAUAGCAAAAAUACCCCAUUUUCAAACCGCGAUUGCUUGUCGAUUUGGAGGAGCGAUCUAGCGUUUUAAAGAACCAACAGAAAGAGCAAGUCUUCCUGAUUUUGAUGACGUGUUUUUUUUAACUUUUCUCAUUAAAAAAGGUAGUUCGCUCCUGCGUUAUUUCAAAGCCAUUUUUUUGGCGUGUCCAUUGACCCGAAACAAGCAUAAAUACAAUGCGUAAUUAGCAUAACUAAAAAGCAAUAUCUAUACCAAAAAAAUAUAAAACUGUUUAAU
Non-coding RNA from Paramuricea clavata, 304 nucleotides. Lineage: Eukaryota; Metazoa; Cnidaria; Anthozoa; Malacalcyonacea; Plexauridae. The record is from the annotation of a GenBank genome assembly.